This 1245-nucleotide long non-coding RNA is filed under the name Olea europaea subsp. europaea. Lineage: Eukaryota; Viridiplantae; Streptophyta; Magnoliopsida; Lamiales; Oleaceae. The record is from RNAcentral.
AACUGCACAUCAUAAUAAAAAGCCUAUUACUAUUGCAAAUAAUGACAACUUACCUGAUAAUCCAUUUAGGAAAAAAAAAAAAAAAAAAGAAAUUCCUCCUAUUAUAUAAUGCAGAAUUUUACAUCUACAAUGUUCCCUGGAGUAUUUGAAUAUUUGGUAGCCACGAAAUACUACAAAUGAUCUUUACUCUAAAAGAGAGAGAAUGGAAAGAUAAGAAGUGAAAUGUGAACUUGACUAUCCUCAAUCGUCAUAAUCUUUUGUUUGCUUCAGCAUAACAUUGACUUCACUUAACAAAUAUAGGUUCCACGAUUGCUCUUAAAAAAUGUGUCACCAAAUGAUGGUUUGAAUUGGCCUCUCUCUCUAACUCUCGUAAUAACAGAUAUUGUGUACAAGUCAAAUUUGUUGUAAACAACACGUCAUCAAAUGAUGUGGAUUGGAGCUGGCAACGAAAUAUAUGCAAAGCAGGCAUAUAGGUGGUCAGCCCACAAGCUUACAGCAACUAACCCAAUUAAUAACUUUCUUGACCUGGUAGAUGACUGAGCUAUUAGUCUCUAAUCAAAUCGAGUCUCGAAAUUGUAUUGGUAAUGGACGACCAGAUGAAAAUCUGUAAAAUAAUAACAUCAUCCCCAUCAAAGUCAGAAAUUUAAUGUUUAUAGAAAAAUUAAAUCUACCUGCACCAUAAGAAGAGUUUUGAAGAUAUUAAUAAAUUAAUGUUUUUCUCUCUUAACAUUUUUAACUUAAAUGAUUUCACAAAAGGAAGGACCUUCAAAAUUUAACAAGAUAUGAAGCUUGCUGCAAAAUAUUGAAUAUUUAUCGAACUAGUUCUUCGCAUGUGAGAUGCACGUAGUGCAUUGUAAUAGAGAAUUUCAUAGAUGAAAUUACCAAAUUCUUAUUGUAGUCUGCCAUUUUUGCUCAUGGUCUACAAGCACUCAACCCCCUCUUCCUCCACCCCUUUCCUCUAAAUACGUCUUGUGUACCAAUAGGCAAUAAUGAAAAACAAGGCAUACGUUUCCUCUCUUUUUUUGCCCCAAGUUAAUGGCAAAGAGAUGCUUGUUCCCUCACUGAAAGGAAGAACAAACACAUUAGCAACUUUAAAAAAUAAAAAUUAAAAAAGGAGUAUUAUUGAUAAUUACUUUCAAUUAAUUUCAGUAAAAUUCACCUGAAGCCAAAUUUUACACAAUAAUUCUUCAUGAAAUCUACCAAUCCAAUUAACUCACUUUCAAAUCGAACAUUUUACAAAACCUG